GAGUGAAAUGAUGCUUUACCAUCUUUCGGGGCUUACCUAGAAAUGGGGAUAAUUUUCUUUAACUGAUCACUC
Lampris incognitus (smalleye Pacific opah) is the source of this 72-nucleotide small nucleolar RNA. RefSeq annotates it as small nucleolar RNA SNORD2. Lineage: Eukaryota; Metazoa; Chordata; Actinopteri; Lampriformes; Lampridae. The transcript has a single exon. The record is from RefSeq and is a predicted model, not a curated record.